AUUGAACGCUGGCGGCAGGCUUAACACAUGCAAGUCGAGCGGAGCGAGGGUGCUUGCACCUUAGCUUAGCGGCGGACGGGUGAGUAAUGCUUAGGAAUCUGCCUAUUAGUGGGGGCCAACAUUCCGAAAGGAAUGCUAAUACCGCAUACGCCCUACGGGGGAAAGCAGGGGAUCUUCGGACCUUGCGCUAAUAGAUGAGCCGAAGUCGGAUUAGCUAGUUGGUGGGGUAAAGGCCUACCAAGGCGACGAUCUGUAGCGGGUCUGAGAGGAUGAUCCGCCACACUGGGACUGAGACACGGCCCAGACUCCUACGGGAGGCAGCAGUGGGGAAUAUUGGACAAUGGGCGGAAGCCUGAUCCAGCCAUGCCGCGUGUGUGAAGAAGGCCUUUUGGUUGUAAAGCACUUUAAGCGAGGAGGAGGCUACUUAGAUUAAUACUCUGGGAUAGUGGACGUUACUCGCAGAAUAAGCACCGGCUAACUCUGUGCCAGCAGCCGCGGUAA
Molecule: ribosomal RNA, 501 nt
Filed under: uncultured bacterium
Lineage: Bacteria
Description: partial 16S ribosomal RNA
Rfam family: Bacterial small subunit ribosomal RNA
Source: RNAcentral